CGGCGAGUGAAGCGGCAACAGCUCAAAUUUGAAAGCUGGCGUCUUCGACGUCCGCGUUGUAAUUUGUAGAGGAUGCUUCGGCGAAGACUCCUGCCUAAGUCCCCUGGAACGGGGCGUCACAGAGGGUGAGAAUCCCGUACGUGGCGGGCGGUCCGAGCCAUGUGAAGCUCCUUCGACGAGUCGAGUUGUUUGGGAAUGCAGCUCUAAAUGGGAGGUAAAUUUCUUCUAAAGCUAAAUAUUGGCCAGAGACCGAUAGCGCACAAGUAGAGUGAUCGAAAGAUGAAAAGCACUUUGGAAAGAGAGUUAAAAAGUACGUGAAAUUGUUGAAAGGGAAGCGCUUGCAACCAGACUCGCCCGCAGUUGCUCAGCCGGCCUCUUGGCCGGUGUACUCUUCUGCGGUCGGGCCAGCAUCGGUUCGGGCGGCUGGAUAAAGGUGCCGGGAAUGUAGCACCCUUCGGGGUGUGUUAUAGCCCGGCGCGGAAUGCAGCCAGCCUGGACUGAGGAUCUCGCUUCGGCUAGGAUGCUGGCGUAAUGGUUGUAAGCGGCCCGUCUUGAAACACGGACCAAGGAGUCUAACAUCUAUGCGAGUGUUUGGGUGUCAAACCCAUGCGCGUAAUGAAAGUGAACGGAGGUGGGAACCCCUCACGGGGCGCACCAUCGACCGAUCCUGAUGUCUUCGGAUGGAUUUGAGUAAGAGCAUAGCUGUUGGGACCCGAAAGAUGGUGAACUAUGCCUGAAUAGGGUGAAGCCAGAGGAAACUCUG
This 763-nucleotide ribosomal RNA is filed under the name Phyllosticta vacciniicola. RNAcentral's name for it is "eukaryotic LSU rRNA". It matches the Rfam family "Eukaryotic large subunit ribosomal RNA", at positions 87 to 866 of the family's 3401-position model. Lineage: Eukaryota; Fungi; Ascomycota; Dothideomycetes; Botryosphaeriales; Phyllostictaceae. The record is from RNAcentral.